UACGAGGGGAGCUAGCGUUGUUCGGAAUUACUGGGCGUAAAGCGCGCGUAGGCGGCUUUUUAAGUCAGAGGUGAAAGCCCGGGGCUCAACCCCGGAAUUGCCUUGAAACUGGAAAGCUAGAAUCUUGGAGAGGUCAGUGGAAUUCCGAGUGUAGAGGUGAAAUUCGUAGAUAUUCGGAAGAACACCAGUGGCGAAGGCGACUGACUGGACAAGUAUUGACGCUGAGGUGCGAAAGCGUGGGGAGCAAACAGG
This 252-nucleotide ribosomal RNA is filed under the name uncultured bacterium. RNAcentral's name for it is "partial 16S ribosomal RNA". It matches the Rfam family "Bacterial small subunit ribosomal RNA", at positions 524 to 776 of the family's 1533-position model. The record is from RNAcentral.